This 589-nucleotide ribosomal RNA is filed under the name uncultured marine eukaryote. Its description in RNAcentral is "SSU rRNA". It matches the Rfam family "Eukaryotic small subunit ribosomal RNA", at positions 617 to 1212 of the family's 1831-position model. The record is from RNAcentral.
AGUUAAAAAGCUCGUAGUUGGAUUUCGGAGUGGGCCAGUUGGUCCGCCGUAAGGUGUGUUACUGACUGGUUUGCUCUUCUUCGCAAAGACUGCGUGUGCUCUUGAGUGAGUGUGCGUAGGAUUUACGACGUUUACUUUGAAAAAAUUAGAGUGUCCAAAGCAGGCUAUUGCUUGAAUACAUGAGCAUGGAAUAAUGGAAUAGGACUUUGGUCCCAUUUUGUUGGUUUCUAGGGCCGAAGUAAUGAUUAAGAGGGACAAUUGGGGGCAUCCGUAUUUCGUUGUCAGAGGUGAAAUUCUUGGAUUUACGAAAGACGAACAACUGCGAAAGCACUUGCCAAGAGUGUUUUCAUUAAUCAAGAACGAAAGUUAGAGGAUCGAAGACGAUCAGAUACCGUCCUAGUUCUAACCAUAAACGAUGUCGACUAGGGAUCAGCGGGCGUUAUCGUACGACCCCGUUGGCACCUUACGGGAAACCAAAGUUUUUGGAUUCCGGGGGAAGUAUGGUUGCAAAAGCUGAAACUUAAAGGAACUGACGGAAGGGCACCACCAGGAGUGGAGCCUGUGGCUCAAUUUGACUCAACACGGGAAA